UGCCUACGGGGGGCAGCAGUGGGGAAUAUUGCACAAUGGGGGGAACCCUGAUGCAGCGACGCCGCGUGGGUGAGGAAGUACUUCGGUAUGUAAAGCCCUAUCAGCAGGGAAGAAAAUGACGGUACCUGACUAAGAAGCCCCGGCUAACUACGUGCCAGCAGCCGCGGUAAUACGUAGGGGACAAGCGUUAUCCGGAUUUACUGGGUGUAAAGGGAGCGUAGACGGCAGCGCAAGUCUGGAGUGAAAUGCCGGGGCCCAACCCCGGAACUGCUCUGGAAACUGUGAAGCUGGAGUGCAGGAGAGGU
RNAcentral lists this ribosomal RNA (305 nucleotides) under uncultured bacterium. RNAcentral describes it as "bacterial SSU rRNA". It matches the Rfam family "Bacterial small subunit ribosomal RNA", at positions 335 to 658 of the family's 1533-position model. The record is from RNAcentral.